GGUCAGUUACCUCGAGAGAUCGGGGAUCCUCUUCGGAGGCGUGCACACAGGUGCUGCAUGGCUGUCGUCAGCUCGUGUCGUGAGAUGUUGGGUUAAGUCCCGCAACGAGCGCAACCCACGUCCUUAGUUGCCAUCAUUCAGUUGGGCACUCUAGGGAGACUGCCGGUGAUAAGCCGCGAGGAAGGUGUGGAUGACGUCAAGUCCUCAUGGCCCUUACGGGAUGGGCUACACACGUGCUACAAUGGCGGUGACAGUGGGACGCGAAACCGCGAGGUCGAGCAAAUCCCCAAAAACCGUCUCAGUUCGGAUUGCACUCUGCAACUCGGGUGCAUGAAGGCGGAAUCGCUAGUAAUCGUGGAUCAGCACGCCACGGUGAAUACGUUCCCGGGCCUUGUACACACCGCCCGUCACACCAUGGGAGUUGGUCUUACCCGACGGCGCUGCGCCAACCGCAAGGAGGCAGGCGACCACGGUAGGGUCAGCGACUGGGGUGAAGUCGUAAAGGGGUUGGCCGUAAGGCU
Molecule: ribosomal RNA, 521 nt
Filed under: bacterium Ag-m32
Lineage: Bacteria
Description: bacterial SSU rRNA
Rfam family: Bacterial small subunit ribosomal RNA
Source: RNAcentral